GACGAACGCUGGCGGCGUGCUUAACACAUGCAAGUCGAACGGAAAGGCCUCUUUCGGGGGGUACUCGAGUGGCGAACGGGUGAGUAACACGUGAGUAACCUGCCCUUGACUUUGGGAUAACUUCAGGAAACUGGGGCUAAUACCGGAUAGGAGCUCCUGCUGCAUGGUGGGGGUUGGAAAGUUUCGGCGGUUGGGGAUGGACUCGCGGCUUAUCAGCUUGUUGGUGGGGUAGUGGCUUACCAAGGCUUUGACGGGUAGCCGGCCUGAGAGGGUGACCGGCCACAUUGGGACUGAGAUACGGCCCAGACGCCUACGGGAGGCAGCAGUGGGGAAUAUUGCACAAGGGGUGGAAGCCUGAUGCAGCAACGCCGGGUGCGGGAUGACGGCCUUCGGGUUGUAAACCGCUUUCGCUCAUGACGAAGCUUUGUGUGACGGUAGUGGGUAAAGAAGCACCGGCUAACUACGUG
Molecule: ribosomal RNA, 467 nt
Filed under: uncultured bacterium
Lineage: Bacteria
Description: partial 16S ribosomal RNA
Rfam family: Bacterial small subunit ribosomal RNA
Source: RNAcentral